GUGCCAGCCGCCGCGGUAAUACGGAGGAUCCGAGCGUUAUCCGGAUUCAUUGGGUUUAAAGGGUGCGCAGGCGGGCCGGUAAGCCCGCGGUGAAAUACCGGCGCUCAACGUCGGCCGUGCCGCGGGAACUGCCAGCCUUGAGUCGUGGCGAGGGCGGCGGAAUGCGGGGUGUAGCGGUGAAAUGCUUAGAUACCCCGCAGAACACCGAUUGCGAAGGCAGCCGCCCAGGGACGCACUGACGCUGAGGCACGAAGGCAUGGGGAUCGAACAGGAUUAGAUACCCUGGUAGUCCAUGCAGUAAACGAUGAGCGCUCGCCCUGCGGGGGUUACCCUGCGGGGCUUAGCGAAAGCGUUAAGCGCUCCACCUGGGGAGUACGCCGGCAACGGUGAAACUCAAAGGAAUUGACGGGGGCCCGCACAAGCGGAGGAACAUGUGGUUAAUUCGAUGAUACGCGAGGAACCUUACCCGGGCUUGAAAGUUAGCGACGGGCUCAGAGAUGAGCCUUCCCCUCGGGGCGCGAAACUAGGUGCUGCAUGGUUGUCGUCAGCUCGUGCCGUGAGGUGUUGGCUUAAGUGCCAUAACGAGCGCAACCCCCGCUCUCAGUUGCCAUCGGGUAGUGCCGGGCACUCUGCGAGGACUGCCACCGUAAGGUGCGAGGAAGGUGGGGAUGACGUCAAAUCAGCACGGCCCUUACGUCCGGGGCGACACACGUGUUACAAUGGCGCGCACAGAGGGAUGCCACCCCGCGAGGGGGAGCGGACCCCGAAAGCGCGCCCUAGUUCGGACUGGAGUCUGCAACCCGACUCCACGAAGCUGGAUUCGCUAGUAAUCGCGCAUCAGCCAUGGCGCGGUGAAUACGUUACCCGGGCCUUGUACACACCGCCCGU
RNAcentral lists this ribosomal RNA (888 nucleotides) under uncultured bacterium. RNAcentral describes it as "bacterial SSU rRNA". It matches the Rfam family "Bacterial small subunit ribosomal RNA", at positions 505 to 1397 of the family's 1533-position model. The record is from RNAcentral.